CGACCGCUGGCGGCGUGCCUAAUACAUGCAAGUUGAGCGCUGAAGGUUGGUACUUGUACCAACUGGAUGAGCAGCGAACGGGUGAGUAACGCGUGGGGAAUCUGCCUUUGAGCGGGGGACAACAUUUGGAAACGAAUGCUAAUACCGCAUAAAAACUUUAAACACAAGUUUUAAGUUUGAAAGAUGCAAUUGCAUCACUCAAAGAUGAUCCCGCGUUGUAUUAGCUAGUUGGUGAGGUAAAGGCUCACCAAGGCGAUGAUACAUAGCCGACCUGAGAGGGUGAUCGGCCACAUUGGGACAGAGACACGGCCCAAACUCCUACGGGAGGCAGCAGUAGGGAAUCUUCGGCAAUGGACGAAAGUCUGACCGAGCAACGCCGCGUGAGUGAAGAAGGUUUUCGGAUCGUAAAACUCUGUUGGUAGAGAAGAACGUUGGUGAGAGUGGAAAGCUCAUCAAGUGACGGUAACUACCCAGAAAGGGACGGCUAACUACGUG
RNAcentral lists this ribosomal RNA (495 nucleotides) under uncultured bacterium. Its description in RNAcentral is "partial 16S ribosomal RNA". It matches the Rfam family "Bacterial small subunit ribosomal RNA", at positions 30 to 507 of the family's 1533-position model. The record is from RNAcentral.